RNAcentral lists this ribosomal RNA (433 nucleotides) under uncultured bacterium. RNAcentral's name for it is "partial 16S ribosomal RNA". It matches the Rfam family "Bacterial small subunit ribosomal RNA", at positions 29 to 507 of the family's 1533-position model. The record is from RNAcentral.
AACGAACGCUGGCGGCAGGCCUAACACAUGCAAGUCGAGCGAGGACUUCGGUUCUAGCGGCGGACGGGUGAGUAACGCGUGGGAAUGUGCCCUUCUCUACGGAAUAGCCCUGGGAAACUGGGAGUAAUACCGUAUACGCCCUAUUGGGGAAAGAUUUAUCGGAGAAGGAUCAGCCCGCGUUGGAUUAGGUAGUUGGUGGGGUAAUGGCCUACCAAGCCGACGAUCCAUAGCUGGUUUGAGAGGAUGAUCAGCCACACUGGGACUGAGACACGGCCCAGACUCCUACGGGAGGCAGCAGUAGGGAAUCUUAGACAAUGGGGGCAACCCUGAUCAAGCCAUGCCGCGUGAGUGAUGAAGGCCUUAGGGUUGUAAAGCUCUUUCAGCUGGGAAGAUAAUGACGGUACCAGCAGAAGAAGCCCCGGCUAACUCCGUG